UUCUACUCCCUCCAUCCCAAAAUAUAAGGGUUUUUGGGGGGAUGUGACACAUCCUAGUACUACGAAUCUGGACAGACUCCAUGUCUAGAUUCGUAGUACUAGGAUGCAUCACAUCCCUCCAAAAACCCUUAUAUCUAUGAAAGAUCAGAGU
RNAcentral lists this unclassified non-coding RNA (151 nucleotides) under Oryza sativa (Asian cultivated rice). Its description in RNAcentral is "partial microRNA MIR468g-6 precursor". The record is from RNAcentral. Lineage: Eukaryota; Viridiplantae; Streptophyta; Magnoliopsida; Poales; Poaceae.